CUGAGUCGUCGACACGAGUUGUUGCUGGUCCUCAAACAGGGGACAUGUGCACGCUCUGUUUACACAUCCACUCACACCUGUGCACCCUCUGUAGUUCUAUGGUCUGGGGGGCUCUGCCUCCCUUCUGUGGUUCUGCAUCUUUACACACACACUGUAACAAAGUUUUAUGGAAUGCACAUCGCGUUUAACGCAAUAUAAUA
This 200-nucleotide unclassified non-coding RNA is filed under the name uncultured fungus. RNAcentral describes it as "sequence contains ITS1, 5.8S rRNA gene". The record is from RNAcentral. Lineage: Eukaryota; Fungi.